Long non-coding RNA from Cuculus canorus (common cuckoo), 582 nucleotides. RefSeq lists it as uncharacterized. The record is from RefSeq and is a predicted model, not a curated record. The transcript has 3 exons. NCBI's taxonomy places the organism in Eukaryota, Metazoa, Chordata, Aves, Cuculiformes, Cuculidae.
UGGACCCGUCCCGGAGCGUUAGAAAGCGGCCGCUCUCCGUCAGGGCUGGGCAGCACGAAAGGGGGAUCUCCAUCAAUCGUACAGCCAGACAGGAGCUGGGACGGCAGAGAGCUCCCACUGAGCGUGGGGUCUUGGAUAAAAAAUGCCUCUGUCGGAGGGACAUUCUGUCUAACUUUGAAAAAAUACAGCGACUUGUGUGAAAACUUUGAAAAAAAUACAGUUACUUGGGUGAAAACUUUGAGAAAACACAGUGACUUGCAUGAAAACUUCACUCUACUUUAGCUUAAAUCAAGGUCCCUCUGUGAGCCCCAUUCCCACCAUGGCAUCUGUGGGUCUGGGCGCUCGGCAGGGUGUAGGGUGAGGCCAGUCUCCACAUGGAGUGAGCAGCUCGUCCUGGGCUCCAGAUACACGGAGAACACAGCUCCUAAGUCCCUGAGCUGCCCCAGAGCAGGGAGAGCUGCUCUCAAAGGCAACAGCCUCGGGAACACCUGCCCAGGACGUAGAAGGAACAGCACGCUUAGAAGAGCCAGAUUCUUCCUCAUUUUCAUGGACACGCUUUCUGAUUGUGGUUGGCUAAGAGAG